Phodopus roborovskii (desert hamster) is the source of this 437-nucleotide long non-coding RNA. RefSeq lists it as uncharacterized. The record is from RefSeq and is a predicted model, not a curated record. The transcript has 3 exons. NCBI's taxonomy places the organism in Eukaryota, Metazoa, Chordata, Mammalia, Rodentia, Cricetidae.
ACGGAAACCUACAGUCACUCAACUCAGUUCCGGACGACUCACGGGCCUCAACUUCCGGCUCUGCGGGCAAGGGGCGGGGAAACACGGGCUGUGAGCAUGCGCGUAAUUCUCUCCCUGCCUUCCCAGGACCGCCAAUGGGCCCACCUUUCUGUGAAUACUGUGGCAUUCAAAGCUAUUUGGGAGAACCUCAAAAACAAAAAACACUGCAAUGGCAGCUAGAAUGUAGUCAGCAUUUGAAAACUGAAGAUGAGAGCACCGAGGGCCACAUUCCACCAUCUAGUGAACUCCAGAUGACAUCAUAGCGUCUUGGGAUGGUCCGCCUCCAGACAUCCAUAUAAGACGGAAAUAGAUUUCUCUCUUGUUUAGUUCACUGAUGUUUGGGGCUUUAAUUAUAUGCAGUUCUAUCUAAACAUAAAUGAUGCACACAGUCUUCAAAA